CCUACGGGCGGCAGCAGUGAGGAAUAUUGGUCAAUGGGCGUGAGCCUGAACCAGCCAAGUCGCGUGAGGGAUGAAGGUUCUAUGGAUCGUAAACCUCUUUUAUAAGGGAAUAAAGUGUGGGACGUGUCCUAUUUUGUAUGUACCUUAUGAAUAAGGAUCGGCUAACUCCGUGCCAGCAGCCGCGGUAAUACGGAGGAUCCGAGCGUUAUCCGGCUUUCUUGGGUUUAAAGGGUGCGUAGGCGGCCUUGUAAGUCAGCGGUGAAAUUCUGUGGCUCAACCAUAGAAUUGCCGUUGAAACUGGGGGGCUUGAGUAUGUUUGAGGCAGGCGGAAUGCGUGGGGGAGCGGUGAAAUGCUUAGAUAUCACGCAGAACCCCGAUUGCGAAGGCAGCCUGCCAAGCCAUGACUGACGCUGAUGCACGAAAGCGUGGGGAUCAAACAGGAUUAGAUACCCCUGUAGUC
This 460-nucleotide ribosomal RNA is filed under the name uncultured bacterium. RNAcentral's name for it is "partial 16S ribosomal RNA". It matches the Rfam family "Bacterial small subunit ribosomal RNA", at positions 338 to 795 of the family's 1533-position model. The record is from RNAcentral.